AACGAAAAAGAAUGUAAAGACACUGAACUGGUUAAGAAUCUAUAGACCAAUGGCUCGGCUCUACCAUCUUGAUGGUGCGUCUCACAUCGACACCACGGCAAUAGCAGCAGCAGCAGCAGCAGCAGCAGCAGCAGCAGCCAGCAGCAGCAGCAGAGGAGACGGGCAGCAGCAUGAGACCGGACCGGACAUCAGAGAGGAGCACACUAGACAUCACCACUACAAUCAAUUAAAUCUCUCUCCUGCGUCACGGUAUCCUCAAAGGGCAUCCUACAGCGCCACAGUCUGGCGUCAGAGGCCUCGGCAGCCACACACUCCUGUCAUGGCACGCAUCGUGAAGGCUGCGGCGGCGGCGGUGGUGGUGGUGGUGGUGCUCGGAGGAGGCCCUGGCGGCAGGUGUGGCGCUGCUCACGGCGCCACAAACUGCAACUCUGGUACAGACGAUGCAGAAAUGCUAGUAAGAUCUGAAGAAGAGGAAUUGAUACACAGCGAAGCAAUACGCCAAGUCAGACGGCACGUGAAUCAAUAUAUGUACAUGGUGCCCUUGACAGGCUUUGAAGGCGUUCGUGCUGAGGUGACAACCAACAUGGGAACAUUCUCUGCCUGGUUCCCAAUUAUGGACCACUGCCUCCUCGACAGUUCCCGGUGGUGGCAGGUGUUACUGGAGGUGAAGAAAUACACCAGUUCAACUCUCACUGCUACUCUGGCGGUACACAACUGCUCCCUGUCAUGUGAACUGAACAAUGACGCAAGACGCACAAAUGGGAGCGACUUGAAGCUUCACAACCUGGAAAUGUUUGGUCGCGGCGCUUCCAAGUGGAGAGAACAGCGUCCACUCCAUCCUUGCAGAGUUGAAACAGUAGCAAAAGAUCCUGUCCGAGUAACCCCGCCCUCCUGCACCAAUCCUCCGCCCAUCGGCAAUGCCUCUCCACCUCACUCUGACACAGAUCAGCAGCCUGCACACCGGCCUGCACAGGGAACUCUCGGCACCGCCUCGCCUCCCGCACGCGCUACACCCCCAAGCCCAUCAGAAUCCCCUACAGCCCACACUGAAGGCCUCACGCCCCCAUUGCGGGUGGCAGCAGUGGUGGUCGUGAUGGUGAUGAUAGUGAUGAGUGAUGAUGGUGGUUGUGAUGAUGAGACGUUGAGAUCGACAAGAAAAUUAGGCGCUCGCGCGCGCGCGUGCGUGUGUGUGUGUGUGUGUGUGUGUGUGUGUGUGUGUGUGUGUGUGUGUGUGUGUGUGUGUGUGUGUGUGUGUGUGUGUGUGUGUGUGUGUGUGUGUGUGUGCGUGAAAAACUUGCAGCAACAACAACAACAGCAAGCAAGCGAAGUUAACAGUUAACAGAAACAUAUGACUGUAAUCGAGUCACCAUUAUCGCCAUCAGAAUUAGCAUCAUAAUCAACAGUAAGAGCUGCACCAGUAACUACAACAUCAAUAACAGUAUUAGUAAUGGUAGUAUAAGCAGUGGGACCCACGCGGCAGCCACUACUGGCGAUACUGCAUCUCCCAGAACUAGGAUGGCAGAAAAAAACAAACAAAUAAAAUGAAAUGAAUAACAUAAAACAAAUAAAUAAAUGAAUGAAAUAAUAAUAAUAAUAAUAAUAAUAAUAAUAAUAAUAAUAAUAAUAAUAAUAAUAAUAAUGAACAUGCUGAAGGCCCAACAUUCAAAACCGUCUUCCCACAGCGGCCAAUGUGUCUCCUCUAAUACAUGGAAUUACGUUACUGGAAACAUUUAUAUUCGAAAAUAAGAAUUGUGGAAACAGUCUUCAUAAAAUGUCAUCAUGAGCUACAGUGAAGAGCAAAGGCGUUCUCUCAGCGAGUGUUAGCGAGCGGCACACCACGACACACAGAAGUGUCCCACGGCUCGUCCGACUUACGGAGGGUUUAUUAGCUGACACACUCCAUCCAGGAAGUCAACGUCAGCAGGAACAGCCUGUAUGAAUCGUUUGACCAGUACCAGCAGCACUCCAGCGGGCCGGGCCAAGGCGACGGCCCUGCUGACACCCAGUGCUGACACAGGCUGUACCUCCCGCAACCACGGUGGCAACAACAACAAGAGCAACACAAAUACGUGCAAUAGACCACAACAACAUGACUACACAACACAAUAAAGUAAAAUAACCAACCCACAUUCUAAAAACACUUCUGCGGCGGAACUUCACUAUAUUUCAUCGCCUCUAGCAGAAGUGACAGGUGUUUUUAAGGUGUUUUUACCGUUUUAGUGACAGAUUAUCAAGAGUUCUACGUAUUUAAUAGGAAAAAACGCUCUUGAGAACCCGGAUAAUCAUCCUCAGUGGCCUUGGUUAAAAGUCGUAGACAGAGAGCAAAGCAUGUCUGGCUACAAAACAAAAUAGUAGUUGUUGCAAAGGCUAAUCCCACGAGCAUUACAUUGGGGCACUAAAGGUAAACACUCUAGUACACUCAAGAAGCGCAUGUCAGAAUAGUGGAUAACAGAGACACAUGCCCAACUUUCAAAGCUGCCUUGUGGAGUGAUCCCUGUUGCUGCAGUAGCGUGUAUUGUGUCUCUCUGUAAGAAAUGCUUUGCUCUCUCGCCACCGACUAUCUCCAAAGGCCACACAUCUGUCACCUGUGCUAUAAAAAGAGCCUUAAAAUCCCGCGUACCUUCAACUAGAGCCUUUUGCAUGUGGUGGAGGUGCGGCGCAGAGGUGUUUCAGAGUCAUGUUCCUUGCUUCAAGAAUACUGUGAGGUAGUGCUUCUAGGGUUUCUAGGAUGUGGGAGUGUUAUCUGUGCGUGUGUCUGUGUGUUGGUGUGCAGGGAAAUUUUCUUUGUGGGAAAUUAAACACACAAGAAAAACAUAAAUAUAGUGAACAUUAUGGUGCUGUGUGUAAUAAUAAGCUUUCACUGAAGAAUAAUGUGGGAUUGUACAUUAAAUAAGUUAAGUUAUGAGGCACAAAAAGACUUUUAAACUUGUAAUCAUCUUGUACAGCGACACGCACUCACAGCUCCUGCAGAGGAAACACUCGUUAUCCACACAGUGUCCGGGAGUCUCCUGUGAUGCGUCGAGUCCUGCCUGCCUCUCCUUAACGUGCUGGUGGUCUAACUACUACUACUACUACUAUUACUGCUACUACUACUACUACUACUAUUCUCUGACAUAUGUACAUAACACGUUAUUUUCCCGGAUAUGAUAAGCGUUGGUGCAAGUCAACACACUCUCUCUCUCUCUCUCUCUCUCUCUCUCUCUCUCUCUCUCUCUCUCUCUCUCUCUCUCUCUCUCUCUCUCUCUCGCUCUCUCUCUCUCUCUCUCCUGUUUAAUAGUGGAG
Scylla paramamosain (green mud crab) is the source of this 3282-nucleotide RNA transcript. RefSeq lists it as uncharacterized. The transcript has 2 exons. Lineage: Eukaryota; Metazoa; Arthropoda; Malacostraca; Decapoda; Portunidae. The record is from RefSeq and is a predicted model, not a curated record.